UGGGGAAUAUUGGACAAUGGGCGAAAGCCUGAUCCAGCCAUGCCGCGUGUGUGAAGAAGGCCUUUUGGUUGUAAAGCACUUUAAGCGAGGAGGAGGCUACUUGGAUUAAUACUCUAGGAUAGUGGACGUUACUCGCAGAAUAAGCACCGGCUAACUCUGUGCCAGCAGCCGCGGUAAUACAGAGGGUGCGAGCGUUAAUCGGAUUUACUGGGCGUAAAGCGUGCGUAGGCGGCUUUUUAAGUCGGAUGUGAAAUCCCUGAGCUUAACUUAGGAAGUGCAUUCGAUACUGGGAAGCUAGAGUAUGGGAGAGGAUGGUAGAAUUCCAGGUGUAGCGGUGAAAUGCGUAGAGAUCUGGCGGAAUACCGAUGGCGAAGGCAGCCAUCUGGCCUAAUACUGACGCUGAGGUACGAAAGCAUGGGGAGCAAACAGG
This 430-nucleotide ribosomal RNA is filed under the name bacterium. RNAcentral's name for it is "partial 16S ribosomal RNA". It matches the Rfam family "Bacterial small subunit ribosomal RNA", at positions 355 to 776 of the family's 1533-position model. The record is from RNAcentral.